GAUGAACGCUAGCGGCAGGCCUAACACAUGCAAGUCGAGGGAGAAGCCCUGUCGGGGGCUGAAACCGGCGCACGGGUGCGUAACGCGGAUGCAAGCUACCUUUCACAGUGGGAUAGCCGGAUGAAAUCUGGAUUAAUACCCCAUAAUAUUAUUGGAUGGCAUCAUUUGAUAAUUAAUACUGCGGUGGUGAUAGACGGGCACGCGUAAUAUUAUCUAGUUGGCGUGGUAACGGCAACCCAAGGAUACGAUAGGAAGGGGUCCUGAGAGGGAGAUCCUCCACAACGGGACUGAGGCCGGGACCAGUAUGCUACGGAAGGCAGCAGUGAGGAAUACUAGUCAAUGGACGGAAGACUGAAACAGCCACGUCGCGUGCAGGAAGAAUGGCUUAGGAGUAGUAUGCUGCUUUUAAAGAGGAAGAAUAUGAUGUACGUGUACAUUGAUGACGGUACCAAAUGAAUAAGCAUCGGCUAACUCCGUG
RNAcentral lists this ribosomal RNA (478 nucleotides) under uncultured bacterium. Its description in RNAcentral is "partial 16S ribosomal RNA". It matches the Rfam family "Bacterial small subunit ribosomal RNA", at positions 28 to 507 of the family's 1533-position model. The record is from RNAcentral.